GGGAGCCGUGUGACGGGAGACUGUCACGCACGGUUCUGAGAGCGGCGGUGGGUGAGAUUCCCGCCGCCGACUCACC
Molecule: non-coding RNA, 76 nt
Organism: Mycobacterium sp. 852002-51759_SCH5129042
Lineage: Bacteria; Bacillati; Actinomycetota; Actinomycetes; Mycobacteriales; Mycobacteriaceae
Source: Rfam